RNAcentral lists this ribosomal RNA (787 nucleotides) under uncultured Pelagibacteraceae bacterium. RNAcentral describes it as "bacterial SSU rRNA". It matches the Rfam family "Bacterial small subunit ribosomal RNA", at positions 46 to 881 of the family's 1533-position model. The record is from RNAcentral. Lineage: Bacteria; Pseudomonadati; Pseudomonadota; Alphaproteobacteria; Candidatus Pelagibacterales; Candidatus Pelagibacteraceae.
GCCUAACACAUGCAAGUCGAACGAAGUAGCAAUACUUAGUGGCAGACGGGUGAGUAACAUGUAGGUAUCUGCCCUUUGGCCUGGAAUAACACGAGGAAACUUGUGCUAAUACCGGAUAAGUCUUUACGGAGAAAGCUUUAUGCACCAUUGGAUGAGCCUGCACUUGAUUAGUUUGUUGGUGGGGUAAUGGCCUACCAAGACUGUGAUCAAUAGCUGAUUUGAGAGGAUGAUCAGCCACAUUGGGACUGAGACACGGCCCAAACUCCUACGGGAGGCAGCAGUGGGGAAUCUUGCACAAUGGAGGAAACUCUGAUGCAGCGAUGCCGCGUGAGUGAAGAAGGCCUUUGGGUUGUAAAGCUCUUUCGUCGGGGAAGAAAAUGACUGUACCCGAAUAAGAAGGUCCGGCUAACUUCGUGCCAGCAGCCGCGGUAAUACGAAGGGACCUAGCGUAGUUCGGAAUUACUGGGCUUAAAGAGUUCGUAGGUGGUUGAAAAAGUUGGUGGUGAAAUCCCAGAGCUUAACUCUGGAACUGCCAUCAAAACUUUUCAGCUAGAGUAUGAUAGAGGAAAGCAGAAUUUCUAGUGUAGAGGUGAAAUUCGUAGAUAUUAGAAAGAAUACCAAUUGCGAAGGCAGCUUUCUGGAUCAUUACUGACACUGAGGAACGAAAGCAUGGGUAGCGAAGAGGAUUAGAUACCCUCGUAGUCCAUGCCGUAAACGAUGUGUGUUAGACGUUGGAAAUUUAUUUUCAGUGUCGCAGCGAAAGCGAUAAACACACCGCCUGGGGAGU